UGCGCAGGCGGCCAAGUGUGUGAGGCGUGAAAGCCUGGAGCUUAACUCCAGAAUUGCACCUCAAACUACAUGGCUAGAGCAUUGGAGAGGGUAGCAGAAUUCAUGGUGUAGCAGUGAAAUGCGUAGAUAUCAUGAGGAAUACCAGAGGCGAAGGCGGCUACCUGGACAAUUGCUGACGCUCAGGCACGAAAGCGUGGGGAGCAAAAG
This 207-nucleotide ribosomal RNA is filed under the name uncultured bacterium. RNAcentral's name for it is "partial 16S ribosomal RNA". It matches the Rfam family "Bacterial small subunit ribosomal RNA", at positions 568 to 774 of the family's 1533-position model. The record is from RNAcentral.